GCUGGAAUGAAAAAUUAUGAAAUGAAAAAAAAUGAGUACAGCGCAUAUGUAAACCAAUAAAUUAAAAAACUCUAGCUAAAUUAGGUUUAGCAUGAAAUUCUGUUUUUGUCAAGGUUUAGUUAAGGAUGUAUUCUUCUGACGUUUCAGUCUCCUUGAAAUCUCGUUCUGGAAUUAUUUCCUUAAUAUGUGAUACACGUGGAA
RNAcentral lists this long non-coding RNA (201 nucleotides) under Mytilus galloprovincialis (Mediterranean mussel). The record is from RNAcentral. Lineage: Eukaryota; Metazoa; Mollusca; Bivalvia; Mytilida; Mytilidae.